ACAAUGUAUAGCUAUUGUUCAUUGCAAGAAAGAUACGGACGGGUAGGUGUGAAUGUCAGCUGAAGAUUGGCAGCUACAGAAUCCCUACACAAUGCCACGAGCUUUCUCUUUUCUCUUUUCUCUCUUCUCUCUUCUCUUUUCAAGAUUCAAGAAUCCUUUUCCACCCCUUUCAGGGUUUUGCUAAGACCCCCAACACCAACGCCAUGUCUCUCACACCUUUGAUGUUUAGGUCACUGGUGAGGCUAUUGACAGCGCUAAUUGGUGAGCCUGCGAUUUCAGUCUCAACCUUACUCUAUUACAGCGAUCUUCUUCCCCAGAAUAUCGUUCUAUUGAGAUUGGUUCGGCAUGAGUUGCUGGAUGAAGAAAAUUAUCUCUUCCAUUUUCUCGUUAACUUCUUGAGAUGUUUCUGGUAGAUGAUGUGCCCAUCGCCCAGGUUUGACUCGUCUUUUUAAUUUCUCCAUCUCGUUCAGAGAUUUAUCGGAAUGAGAUAAAUAUAUAUAGGUGGUUCCUCAA
Corylus avellana is the source of this 513-nucleotide long non-coding RNA. RefSeq lists it as uncharacterized. NCBI's taxonomy places the organism in Eukaryota, Viridiplantae, Streptophyta, Magnoliopsida, Fagales, Betulaceae. The record is from RefSeq and is a predicted model, not a curated record.